UCUGGAAUCGUCUAAUAGGUAGGACAUAGAUUUUUGAUGUCUACAAGUGAGUGUUCGAAUCGCUCUUCCAGAA
RNAcentral lists this transfer RNA (73 nucleotides) under Metarhizium album. RNAcentral describes it as "tRNA-Gln". It matches the Rfam family "tRNA". Rfam says of the family: Transfer RNA (tRNA) molecules are approximately 80 nucleotides in length. Their secondary structure includes four short double-helical elements and three loops (D, anti-codon, and T loops). The record is from RNAcentral. Lineage: Eukaryota; Fungi; Ascomycota; Sordariomycetes; Hypocreales; Clavicipitaceae. RNAcentral also lists the same sequence under 2 other names.